This 613-nucleotide long non-coding RNA is filed under the name Brassica rapa (field mustard). Its description in RNAcentral is "long non-coding RNA (BRAP_LNC006587)". Lineage: Eukaryota; Viridiplantae; Streptophyta; Magnoliopsida; Brassicales; Brassicaceae. The record is from RNAcentral.
AGAAUAUUAUUAUAAUAUAUAUUUCUCAGCCGAUUAAAUUUAACAUAUAUAAAAUAAUUUUUAUAAUUAGAAAAAAUAAAUAUGAUAAAAAACUAAAAUUUAAUUUAAAUGAUAUUUUAAUAUAAAAUACAUAAGUAACUAAGUUAUACAAAGCAAAGAAUCUUUGCUUUACUCUGUUGUUUUAAAUUGUUGGCUGUAGAAAUUUUUGUUGUUAAAACUAUAAAUACUAUUUUAAAUAUUUACAAAAAUAUGAUUUAUGAUAAAAAUAUUUAAAAUAUAAUUAUUAUUUUUAUUAUUACACAAUAAAUAUAAAAUUAUACAAUAAUAAAUAGAAACAUAUCAAACAAAAGUGUAUGAUAGGGAAAAAUAAAAGAAUGGUUAAUUUAUCUCACAAUAUUUAUGAUAAAAAUGUAUAUAGACUAAAAUAAGUGUUUUAGUUAUUACUGAAAAAAUGAAAAGAUAUUUUGCAAAAAUAAAUAAAAUGAACCUUUUGUUUUCAAAAUCACCUAAAUAAAGCGGUAGAAAAUUCAAUGAAAAGGAGAAAGGGAAAUGAAAAUUUGUGAAAACCAUAGAACUUUAAAAACAUAAAGACAAGCAAAAAUGAAAAAAAAAA